GACGAACGCUGGCGGCGUGCCUAAUACAUGCAAGUUGAGCGCUGAAGGUUGGUACUUGUACCGACUGGAUGAGCAGCGAACGGGUGAGUAACGCGUGGGGAAUCUGCCUUUGAGCGGGGGACAACAUUUGGAAACGAAUGCUAAUACCGCAUAAAAACUUUAAACACAAGUUUUAAGUUUGAAAGAUGCAAUUGCAUCACUCAAAGAUGAUCCCGCGUUGUAUUAGCUAGUUGGUGAGGUAAAGGCUCACCAAGGCGAUGAUACAUAGCCGACCUGAGAGGGUGAUCGGCCAAAUUGGGACUGGGACACGGCCCAAACUCCUACGGGAGGCAGCAGUAGGGAAACUUCGGCAAUGGACGAAAGUCUGACCGGGCAACGCCGCGGGAGUGAAGAAGGUUUUCGGAUCGUAAAACUCUGUUGGUAGGGAAGAACGUUGGUGAGAGUGGAAAGCUCAUCAAGUGACGGUAACUACCCAGAAAGGGACGGCUAACUACGUG
This 497-nucleotide ribosomal RNA is filed under the name uncultured bacterium. Its description in RNAcentral is "partial 16S ribosomal RNA". It matches the Rfam family "Bacterial small subunit ribosomal RNA", at positions 28 to 507 of the family's 1533-position model. The record is from RNAcentral.